UGCGAUUCUUGCAAAGUACUUCGAAUGCAAUGUUUUUCUUGAUUCUGGCAAUUGUCGACCCUUGGGGAAGGUUUGAGUACCAGUGUCUUUCGUCCUGAUUUUUAUUGAGGCGAAACUGGUAGAAGACAUAAGACUGUUUCAGCUUCUAUAGUCCAGAAUGAUCGUCGCAUAUCAUCAUCUGACAUCAUAUUAAGAAUUUGUUUAGUAUUAAUAUUCCAACACUAACGAAUAAGAUACAAAGACGAUAAGGACAGAAUAAUUAUAAGGAACAUAAGGAAAAAGAAGAACUCUACCACAUGUCCAUCGUAAUCCUUUGUGACAUCUCAAGAACUCUACUGUGACUAAUCUUCAAAGUAUAGUAGAGUUUAAAUAAGACAGUCUAUGUCUGAAGCGUGAAGAAGUGAGAUUAAAUAUUCAACCUGGUAUCUGAAAUAAUCAAGUAUAUAGAGUAUGAUUCCCGUUGGAAAAAAUGCAUACAGAGAAGGAAUUUUUUAAAAAAUGUUGACU
Molecule: long non-coding RNA, 507 nt
Organism: Centruroides sculpturatus (bark scorpion)
Lineage: Eukaryota; Metazoa; Arthropoda; Arachnida; Scorpiones; Buthidae
Exons: 4
Source: RefSeq, a predicted model, not a curated record